Long non-coding RNA from Carassius auratus (goldfish), 760 nucleotides. RefSeq lists it as uncharacterized. Lineage: Eukaryota; Metazoa; Chordata; Actinopteri; Cypriniformes; Cyprinidae. The transcript has 3 exons. The record is from RefSeq and is a predicted model, not a curated record.
UUUCCUAAUAUGGUUCUGAGAAGAGCAAUAAUACAUUUUUUCAAAAUAUUAGUAACAAGAAAAUGUAAAACACAUUAGAAUUUCUGUGUACUGUUAACAGGUUCUAAAACUUUAAUGGAGAAACUCUUAACGCAUGUCUGCCUUUGUACAAAAAUGUUUCAUUUACUCACUAGAUUUCCCUCCUCCUUUUUGCAUCUUUUUCCUUUUAGUCUAUUUGAGUCGCUGGUCUUAAUUAAAACUUCCCUUUCUAGAGUUUCCCUUGAUGUGUGUCCAGUCUCUGCUCUGCACACCCUCUCCGCGGGCCUCUGUCCAGCUUGGAUGAUGAUGGAAAGCAGAAGAAUGCAGGAAUGCGGAGGGAGAUGAUAAUCCUGGUUGCUCAUCGCAACGGAAGACACGUUUGACACAUCGCAGGAGGAAUGAGGUGGAGGGGAGGGGAGCUCUUGCUCCUAUUAACCUGGUGUUUACAGUAACAGGCUGGCAUUGUUUUAUAAUGGAGGUACAUGAAUAUUGGCAACUGGCCUCCCAUCUGAAAUCUGAGAGCUCGAACUGGAAUGUGAGACGUCACCUGGUCACCAUGGUUACAUGCCUGUAUCAGCUGCUUUUUUGUCCUAGCUUGAGAGUAUGGACUGGGUUUUUUUCUCUCUCUCUCUCUCUGAGUGAGUGCUUGUGAACAGGUAUGAGAAGGUUUGUGUCUUGUUUGUGUGUGAUAAGUGUGAUAAGUAUCAAUGUGUAAAUUUUCAGAGGACAUUAAACUUGGGGG